Molecule: ribosomal RNA, 876 nt
Filed under: uncultured archaeon
Lineage: Archaea
Description: bacterial SSU rRNA
Rfam family: Archaeal small subunit ribosomal RNA
Source: RNAcentral
GUGGGACUAAGCCAUGCGAGUCAACAUAGCAAUAUGUGGCAUACGGCUCAGUAACACGUAGUCAACAUGCCCAGGGGACGUGGAUAACCUCGGGAAACUGAGGAUAAACCGCGAUAAGUCGCUACUUCUGGAAUGGGUAAUGACUUAAAUCUAUAUGGCCCCUGGAUUGGACUGCGGCCGAUCAGGCUGUUGGUGAGGUAAUGGCCCACCAAACCUGUAACCGGUACGGGCUCUGAGAGGAGGAGCCCGGAGAUGGGCACUGAGACAAGGGCCCAGGCCCUAUGGGGCGCAGCAGGCGCGAAACCUCUGCAAUAGGCGAAAGCCUGACAGGGUUACUCUGAGUGAUUUCCGUUAAGGAGAUCUUUUGGCACCUCUAAAAAUGGUGCAGAAUAAGGGGUGGGCAAGUCUGGUGUCAGCCGCCGCGGUAAUACCAGCACCCCGAGUGGUCGGGACGUUUAUUGGGCCUAAAGCAUCCGUAGCCGGUUCUGCAAGUCUUCCGUUAAAUCCACCUGCUUAACAGAUGGGCCGCGGAAGAUACUAUAGAGCUAGGAGGCGGGAGAGGCAAGCGGUACUCGAUGGGUAGGGGUAAAAUCCGUUGAUCCAUUGAAGACCACCAGUGGCGAAGGCGGCUUGCCAGAACGCGCUCGACGGUGAGGGAUGAAAGCUGGGGGAGCAAACCGGAUUAGAUACCCGGGUAGUCCCAGCUGUAAACGAUGCAGACUCGGUGAUGAAUUGGCUUUAUGCCUAUUCAGUGCCGCAGGGAAGCCGUUAAGUUUGCCGCCUGGGGAGUACGGUCGCAAGACUGAAACUUAAAGGAAUUGGCGGGGGAGCACCACAAGGGGUGAAGCUCUGCGGUUCAAUUGGAUUCAACGCCGG